AUGUUUUAUGGGCUUUGUACGGUUUAGAUUUUGACACGUCUACAUCUCACGUGGGCCCCUUUGUAGUAUUUAAUUGUAUAUAUCAACCGCGUUUUGGCAUUAUAUGGGUAAAAACACUUCAAAAAGAAGAUUUUAUUUCAUAAAACUUAAACAUUUAUUUAUGGGAAAUUAUAUAAACCAAAUAUUUGAAAAAAAAUAAUCUAAUGAAUUAAAGAAUUUUUAUAUUUAUUUUUAACACCUAAUAAUAAUAAUUUAAAAUAGACCCAUAAUUUGCUUUAUUUUCUUUUUCAUUUAACAUGAGUUUUAAUAAUAAGUUGUAAUAAUUUCACAAAUUUGAGAAAUGUGAUAAAGACUAACU
This 358-nucleotide long non-coding RNA is filed under the name Ricinus communis (castor bean). Its description in RNAcentral is "long non-coding RNA (RCOM_LNC003273)". The record is from RNAcentral. Lineage: Eukaryota; Viridiplantae; Streptophyta; Magnoliopsida; Malpighiales; Euphorbiaceae.